GACCGCGUAGCUCAGUUAGCAGAGCAUUGGGCUAGUAUUCCAAAGGUCGUAGGUUCGAUUCCCACCGUGGCCA
This 73-nucleotide transfer RNA is filed under the name Paramuricea clavata. It matches the Rfam family "tRNA". From Rfam's summary of the family: Transfer RNA (tRNA) molecules are approximately 80 nucleotides in length. The record is from Rfam by way of RNAcentral. Lineage: Eukaryota; Metazoa; Cnidaria; Anthozoa; Malacalcyonacea; Plexauridae.